UUGCUUCAGCAGCACUUAUACUAAGCUUGGAAUGAUACAGAGAAGAUUAGCAUGGCCCCCGAGGAAAGAUGGCACACAAAUUUGUAAAGCAUUCAAUAUUUUU
This 103-nucleotide small nuclear RNA is filed under the name Dasypus novemcinctus (nine-banded armadillo). Lineage: Eukaryota; Metazoa; Chordata; Mammalia; Cingulata; Dasypodidae. The record is from RNAcentral.